AUGGAGAGGCUCGAGGACAUCUUGUCAAAGAAGGAGGCAUGCGUGAAGCGCUCAGACCUCAAGGAGGAGAAAAAUGCGGAGAGGUUCAAAUUGUUGAUGGAGGCGACAGACAAAAAGUUCAAGCUCGAAGAGAGGAGGACCAUGAUCAAAGAGAGGAAAGCCGCGCUCAAGGAAAAGAAAAUGAUCAUGCAAUCUGUCUGCUACCAGAUGUUGCAGUGGCAGAAAAAUGAGUUGAUAGCGGCGGACAAUGAGGCGGAGGUGGACGCGGACGCGGAGGAGAAUGUUGAUAGUGUGCACAAUGAUGGCGUGGAUGCAGUGAAGGAGGAUGUUGGUUCGGAGAAGAAGGGCUCCUUGAAUGAUGACAGGAAGGAGGAUGUUGAUAGUAGAAUGAAUGAGGCCGCAUUAAGUGAUGGGGAUGGAGCAAAGGACGGUGUUGAUACAGGGAAGAUUGGCCCUCCAAGUAAUAACAAUGAUGGAGAGGUUCAUGUGCAAGGGAGUGGUGCAGGAACUGCUGAAAAGGAAGGUGCUAUUGGCACUAAACAGGAGCAUCCUAAGAGUGCAGAUGAUAUGAGGGGCACUUGUAAUGUCAGACUAGAAAACAAUUCAUCAAAGGAAGAAGCUGCUACAGAGAAUAAGGAGGAGCAUACUGACGGUGUUGUUGACUCUCGAGAUGAUAUUGGUAACUUGGGAAACAAUUUAAUGGACUCAUCAAAGGUGUACUCGUGCACUCAUGACAUCUGGACAUCGCGAUAG
This 753-nucleotide ribosomal RNA is filed under the name Triticum aestivum (bread wheat). RNAcentral describes it as "partial small subunit ribosomal RNA". The record is from RNAcentral. Lineage: Eukaryota; Viridiplantae; Streptophyta; Magnoliopsida; Poales; Poaceae.